CCUACGGCGAGCAGCAGUGGGGAAUAUUGGGCAAUGGAGGCAACUCUUACCCAGCAAUGCCGCGUGAAUGAAGAAGGUCUUCGGAUUGUAAAGUUCUUUAAUUGUGGACGACAAACAUGACGGUACCCACGGAAUAAGCCCCGGCUAACUACGUACCAGCAGCCCCGGUAAUACGUAGGGGGCAAGCGUUGUUCGGAAUGCCUGGGCGUAAAGGGUGUGUAGGCGGUGUAGCAAGUUAGAAGUGAAAUACCUAGAGCUUAACUCAGGUUCUGCUUCUAAAAAUGCUAUACUUGAGGGCAGUAGAGGAAAGUGGAAUUCCUAGUGUAGCGGUGGAAUGCGUAGAGAUUAGGAGGAACAGCAGUGGCGAAGGCGUCUUUCUGGACUGUAACUGACGCUGAGGCACGAAAGUGUGGGGAGCAAACAGGAUUAGAUACCCUGGUAGUC
RNAcentral lists this ribosomal RNA (444 nucleotides) under uncultured bacterium. Its description in RNAcentral is "partial 16S ribosomal RNA". It matches the Rfam family "Bacterial small subunit ribosomal RNA", at positions 338 to 795 of the family's 1533-position model. The record is from RNAcentral.